CAGUAGCCGCGGUAAUCCGUAGGGUGCGAGCGUUAAUCGGAAUUACUGGGCGUAAAGCGUGCGCAGGCGGUUGUGUAAGACAGGUGUGAAAUCCCCGGGCUUAACCUGGGAACUGCGCUUGUGACUGCACAGCUAGAGUAUGGCAGAGGGGGGUGGAAUUCCACGUGUAGCAGUGAAAUGCGUAGAGAUGUGGAGGAACACCGAUGGCGAAGGCAGCCCCCUGGGCCAAUACUGACGCUCAUGCACGAAAGCGUGGGGAGCAAACAGGAUUAGAUACCCCGGUAGUCCCUGUCUCUUAUAC
This 301-nucleotide ribosomal RNA is filed under the name uncultured bacterium. RNAcentral describes it as "partial 16S ribosomal RNA". It matches the Rfam family "Bacterial small subunit ribosomal RNA", at positions 509 to 807 of the family's 1533-position model. The record is from RNAcentral.